This 253-nucleotide ribosomal RNA is filed under the name uncultured bacterium. RNAcentral describes it as "partial 16S ribosomal RNA". It matches the Rfam family "Bacterial small subunit ribosomal RNA", at positions 524 to 776 of the family's 1533-position model. The record is from RNAcentral.
GACGUAGGGCGCGAGCGUUGUCCGGAUUUAUUGGGCGUAAAGAGCUCGUAGGCGGUUUGUCGCGUCGUCUGUGAAAACCCACGGCUCAACCCCGGGCCUGCAGCCGAUACGGGCAAGCUAGAAUUCGGUAGGGGAGACUGGAAUUCCUGGUGUAGCGGUGAAAUGCGCAGAUAUCAGGAGGAACACCGGUGGCGAAGGCGGGUCUCUGGGCCGAAAUUGACGCUGAGGAGCGAAAGCGUGGGGAGCAAACAGG